Molecule: long non-coding RNA, 682 nt
Filed under: Nicotiana tabacum (common tobacco)
Lineage: Eukaryota; Viridiplantae; Streptophyta; Magnoliopsida; Solanales; Solanaceae
Description: long non-coding RNA (NTAB_LNC006572)
Source: RNAcentral
UUCCAUUGAAUGUGAAAUGAGGAGGUGUCCAUACACUCUCGGAUUAGGCGAGCCGAAUCUGAGCGGCAAGCCCAGCCUUGAAUAUGACGCAGUAGUCAAGCCAUCGGAACUUCACGCUCUGAAGAAAAGCCCCUCCGAUCGCAUGAAUUUGGACAAUUUCGAAAACCGAACGCUGUACACGACACACCAGAUCCUCGAAACAUGGAUCUACGCGUCAAAAAUGCUUUUGAAGAGAAUCGCUGAGAGAAUCGAUCGCAAAGACUACGAAAAAGCCGUUAACGACUGCUGGUUACUGGAGAAAACGUGGAAACUCCUAAUCGAAAUCGAAGACCUUCACUUGCUGAUGGAUCCAGAUGAUUUUCUACGCCUAAAAAACCAAUUAUCCAUCAAAGCAACUGCCGAAUCGGAGCUAUUUUGCUUCCGAUCCAAAGGACUCGUUGAAAUUACCAAACUAUCCAAGGAUCUAAAACACAAAGUGCCGAACAUUCUAGACGUAGAGGUAGAUCCCCAGGGGGGACCAAGAAUUCAAGAGGCAGCCAUGGAUUUGUUCAGGAAAAAGGAAAGCUUCGAGAAGAUUCACUUGCUUCAAGCUUUACAAGCAAUUGAAAUGGCAGUGAAGAGAUUCUACUAUUCGUAUAAGCAGUUGUUAGUAAUUGUUAUGGGGAGUUUAGAAGCUAAAGGG